UACAGAGACCUCAAGCGUUAUCCGGAAUCAUUGGGCGUAAAGCGUACCGAUAGGUGGUCUAAAAAGUCAAAAGUGAAAUCUCAAGGCUCAACUUUGAGACUGUCUUUUGAAACUUUUAGACUUGAGGGGCAAAGAGGAAGCUGGAACGAACGGUGUAGUAGUGAAAUGCGUAGAGAUGUGGAGGAACACCAGUGGCGAAGGCGACUCUUUGGUCUGUAACUGACGCUGAGGCGCGAAAGCGUGGGGAGCAAACAGG
This 256-nucleotide ribosomal RNA is filed under the name uncultured bacterium. Its description in RNAcentral is "partial 16S ribosomal RNA". It matches the Rfam family "Bacterial small subunit ribosomal RNA", at positions 524 to 776 of the family's 1533-position model. The record is from RNAcentral.